Lasiosphaeria ovina is the source of this 78-nucleotide non-coding RNA. The record is from the annotation of a GenBank genome assembly. NCBI's taxonomy places the organism in Eukaryota, Fungi, Ascomycota, Sordariomycetes, Sordariales, Lasiosphaeriaceae.
CCCCUCGUGGCGCAAUUGGCUAGCGCGUUAGACUGUUACAUACUCUGGAGGCUGAUGGUUUGACACCGUCCGAGGGAA